Molecule: long non-coding RNA, 8128 nt
Organism: Strigops habroptila (Kakapo)
Lineage: Eukaryota; Metazoa; Chordata; Aves; Psittaciformes; Psittacidae
Exons: 3
Source: RefSeq, a predicted model, not a curated record
UCAACAGCAGUGCUCAUUUUGGAGUGUUUUAUUAAUCCAACCUCUGUUAACUCUCAGUACGUCCCUUUCAGAACUGCCUCUGGAGAUAUUUAGAAGAACAUGAUGCCCAAGAAGCCUCAGCAGUCUUUGUGUGAACAAUGGACCAGCUGAGGCGAUUCCAGAGGAUUUCAGAGGAUUCACCAGAUCUUUGCAAAUCCUUCAGCUGAACAAGCCCACCCUUCUGAACUCUUUCACCCAGGCUUGAUACAUCAAGCAAACUUUGGUGGAGUUAUUCUUGCCUCACACCAAUGGUAAGAGGAAAGAGCAGCGUGUUUCAUGUUAUUUUGUGCCAGAUGUUUUGUUGGUAGAAAUCCAUAGCUCCACAGGCACCAAUUUCUUCAGGAUCUGGAAUGUCUGGCACAAUUUCUUUCUCCAUUCUGGACGGUCUGUGAAGGAAACUGCUUUGUUUUGCAAUAUUGAAUAUUCAUGCUGGGAAGUUAUAAGCAAAAGCAAAAUAAUGAGAGACAGGGUCUCUAAUAAGCUUCCUGUCACAUGAGGCUCUGGUUCUGUUGAAGCAGAUGUGGUUUCCAAAAUGUUUGUUGAGUGGUGAUUAGAUUCUGUCAUACUGAUGUUAUCUCUCUCUGAUCUCCUUCAAUACAAGUAGUUCUGCAAACAGCGAAAUCUUUUCUCCUAUGGAUUUAUAUCUCGGAUUGUGUUUCAGCGUGCAUCAGAUGUGAUGUUUGAUGGAGAUUGAGUUAAUUUUAGCCUGUUUCUUCAAUGAGAGAUGAAUAAUGUCUUCUUUACUUGGCUAUCAACUUUCACAAUUAAGCAUCUCCAGCGUUAAAUUUGAUUGGGAAUUAUGAACCAGCUCCAAAGUUAUUUGGGAUCAACUCAUGUAAACAAACAUGAGCACGAGUCUCAUUUGCUUACAAAAGCAACAGGUAAGAAUCAAUUAUAAAAUAUCUUGUCCUUGUGUAUUACCUGCUUGAUUCUGUUCUGGUUUAUUUGUGAUCAAUCACAGAUGAUGUGCUUUAUUUGUAAAGCUGUAUGAAGUAUGGGAAUCGUUUUGCUACACUGACUGCAUAUUAAAUCCUCAUGAAUUUAUACUUGUUACAGGCUACACAAGAGAUUACAUUCUUUUUUGAUUGUCCUUGCUGGAGCAUGGGAAGGAGGUGACAUGCAUUUUAACUUACUGUUUGCACAGGCAAGUGCAGAGAAAGAACAGAUUGUUUUUCCUUUAGAAUUAGUCCUCAUCAGUUCUGGUUUGGAAAGGAAGAAAGGAAACCUAGAAUUGAAAAUGACCUUUAGGGUUGCUGAGUACAGUUUUCUGCUUUGCAGUGAGCCACAUUCCCAAUCUUUUUCAUAAAGAGAUUGUGCUAUUCAGAAAUAGGCUCUUUCCUCCUUGUCUCUCUUAUCCUCCCAGUUUUGACUUUAUUUGGGUGUUUGCUCCAGAAUUUCCUUCUUUUAAUAGGAGGAAACCUUCUAAUUUCCAUGGUCAGUUUAUGCAUGUUUGUUGUUAUUCUAGGAACAUCCCUUAGGUUGCAUGGCUCUUUUCUACACCAUGUAACUAAUCUGAGACUGUACAUGUGAUCUGCUGUGCCAAGGCCAGUAAAAGAGGCAGGAGUUAGUCUUCCAUUCACUUAUUUCCCUCAUACUUUCACUGUUUAUAGCAAAGUCUUUAUGCAUUUUUCAUGAUAUGUCACAUUAAGCAAAGAGAAAGUUCCUGUGGAUCACAGAUAAUUUGAGGAACUGGUCAAGUGAGAAGGGUGCUGGGAAGGUUGGCAGCAGUCUCAGCUCACUGGCUAGAGGAGGAUGAUGUUGCACAGCCUAAGGAGGUCAUAUGAAAAUUAAGGAUACCAUGAUAAAGUAAGGAAAUGCUAGCCACUUUAGCUUGUUUGUACUAAAUGAGAGGCCUGAAGUCUUUCCCCCUUCCUUCCAUGUUGAUCUUUCAAAUGUUGGUAACAUCCAGUCAGGCUUCAUGUGGUUUGACAGGGGUUUAUUGGGGCUUGACCUGGGAAACUGUAAGCUUCCUUGAGCUUCAUGUGCAGGGUCAGGGUUCUGUACCUCCACCAAAGCUAACUUUUCUUUCAUACCCUUCUCAGUGACAAUACAAAUCCGUCUUGAUUUUAACCAUUUUACUUUUAUAACAUGUCUGAAUAACCUUAUCAUCAUCUCUCUGAUUAAUAACCCUACAUUAGGCCUUCAAACUCUCUACUUGUUACCUUUCCAAUGUAAAAACUAUUUGUCUAGAUUAAGAAAUGGUUAUAUGGCUAUUACAAAAUGUCAUCAGGAUUUAAGAAUAAAGCUUUAAAAAAAUCACAGUUGCUUCUUUCAAACCUCUUUGAUACAUUUUAAGUUACAUUUUAAGUUACACCUAUCCAAUUUUCUGCAUACGUGUUGAGAACAGUCCUGUAAGAGAACUCUAGCAGUCUCUCUCACUGUCUUUUUAUUCCUCUGCAAGGUUAGUUUAGUUUGCUUAAUGUAGAAGAACAAUUCAUUUGAAAAUGAAAAGCGUGAAAGGGGAGCAAUAAUUAAAGAGGUAGAAGUAGAUGAGACAAGAAGGUAAGAAGUAGAUCAGCAAUUUGAUGUAUUCAGCUUCACUUGUGCCUGUGUAAGAGGUGGCAUCUGUUUAUGGUUAAAGAGGAGCAAUCAUGUAGAAACAGAGCAAGAGCUAGAGAUGAGGGCUCACUCAUCUUCAACUGCAAAGUAGCCAGAUUUCUUCAUUAUGUUUGAUAAUGGUCCUUUAAUCUGAGUUGAAUCUCUGAAAGGUCCCAAGAAAGAUGGCAAUGGAAAUUUUAAACCCAAAUUUUAGGACUCUGGUUGUUGCUGGGGAGCUUUUCCUUCAGGAGACCUUGUCAGCUGGAACCAAUGUCUGUGUUACAAAGUGACCCCCAUGUCGGUACUCAGCAGCCACUCUUGGAUGCUGGGUGCAGAGGCCUGCUUCAGAUUCUUCAGAUGUGAGUGAUCUCUGAACAAUGCUCACCCUGGUCUCCAAGAAAACAUACCAGCAGCCAAAGAUAACUGCAGUGCAAUCUGGCUAAACCCAUCAUCUUCCACACUGGUCCCCUUCCUUGUCCGAGCCUCACCCUGUCCCAGGGGUCUGCAAGGGUGUGUGUGGCAGGCAGCCAUCACCCAGGAAUCUCCCCUCUGCCCGGCAGUUUAAGACUGGGAGGGCUCUUUCCUGUUUUCUGGCCCCUUUCAGGACUGACAAAAGGAAGCCAGACACAGCCUGGAACUUAUGCCAAAGUUUUCCAAGUCUUUGUUAACUGGCAGGAUGAUGGAUAUCAGCCAGUAGUGUCUGGGUGUAAAAGAAAAAGGAAAUCAGAUGGAGUCUCCAAGAGUCUAACAGGAACUGCAGAUGGUUGGGAAUGAAUGUCCCAACUUUCAUUUCUUUGGAAUAUUAAACUUGAACAGAUGAUAUAACAAAGAGCAAUCCACAGCCACAGAGCAGAUGCUCAUAUCACCAGAACAGAAGCUCCCACACAUUCCUGCUCACCACACAAGUGCUGUCAGUGAUCUCUUUGCCGUGUUAUUUGAUUGUCAGCCUGGCUGUAAGAAUAUAUUGUCUACCCGUGUGUCAGCUUGUUUAUCUCACCUGUCCCUUCUUAAGCCAUUGACUGUUUUAGCCACAUCUGGUAGAAUGAAAGAGGUCUCAAAGUCAUAAAAUCCCUAAAAAAUUCAUUACUGUAGGUAGCCAGGUCUGGAUAGAGAAUAAGGGAGGAAGACCCUUCUAAGAGGAUAGAAAAUCUACUCUUGGGUAAAUCCUUAAGUCUGUUGCAAACUGGGCUUCAAAAGCACUUUAGCAUAACAUGUUUAUCUAACACUACCAGCUUUUUCUGGGACUGGCAAAUGAAUUAUUUAGUAAUGGAAACUGCAUGUGUAUCUGUUUGGCUUCUGUAGGAGUGUCUGUAGGGAUCACAGCUUUGUGUCACAGACCCUGUGUCUUAACGUGAAGAAGAGAGCACUGAGAGGCAAGUUUUGGCUUUUACUGCUAAUGCUUUGUAAAAUAACCUUUGUGGUCUGCAGACUCAGACCUGUGCAGGUCUCUGUGACCUAAGAUUUAUUACACCACUACCAUAUUUAUACAUCUCUCUCCAGUUCCUGGAUAUGAAAGAAAUUAAAGGUCGAAAAGUUCAGCUUCAUGUUAAUAGAUCCAGAUAUACCCAAUAUUUAACUUCUCUGGACAAAGGAAGCUCAUUGAGGGCUGGCUUGUCCUGUUACGUUGUGCAGGUGUCAGCACUGUGUGCUGCGAAGCUUCAUGCAACCUUAGGGAUAAAAAAGAAUAAAAGCCAAGUGUAUGCUCAAUGGGAACCAGAUGGAGUUUUCAUUAGAUAUGACUUCUAAUGACCUGCUUUAAAAGUAAAGAUACACCAUUCAGAGCAGAAGAGGGACCUCCUAAUAGCUUUGUUCAGGUCCCAGGCUCAUUAUCUUAGCUACAGAUAAGCAAGAUUGCAAGAUCUUUGUAUCAUUAGGAAUUCCAGCCAAACUCGCCUACCAUUAUUAGAAUUCCAAACACAGCAACCCAGUUUUGGGGCCUUAACAAUAAUUUUCCCUAAGAUGUAUCUUUAAUGAUUCAAAGUUAUUAUUAUGGGCCUGGCAGUUGAUUGCUCUGUUUCUGGAGUAUUACCAUGUAACCCGGGUCAGAAUAAAGAUCCUGGAACAUUCAUUGCAGGGCAGAGCUUUUGCUUCUUUGAGGGCCUGGUCUUCACAGUGAGCUUUUUUGACUCCUCCAAGUGGUCUUCCUGGCUGUGAGAUGUGACCCCAGCAGUCUAGAAAGCCUCAAGAUCCUUCCUAAAAGGAUGAACCCUGCAAUCUGUGCCUGUAGGUACUAAAUCAACUUCUGACAAGUAAAGAACAAUACAAUCCCAGGGCUUUAGGAGUAGGUGAUUGCUGCCAAACCACAAUAAAUGCUUUUGUCUGGAACUCAUGGAACAGUAACAUAGCAGUGGAGGGUGUACCCUUGUCUGUUAUUCCCUCUGAGCAAAUUCUCAGAGACAUGUUACCAGGAUUCAGAUAGUUUUCAUGGAACUAGUGGAGAAAUAGGCUUUCAUUUCCGUACAGAGGAAGAGACAAUGGAACUCAGCAAAACAUAUGGCAAGUUUUUGUUCCUGUCUGAGGGUUAUGCAAGCAAAACCACUGCCCAUCCUCAGACAGAGCUCUCUAAAGUGACCCUCACGUGAGGAAAUCUAUGUUACCUCUCUUCUGAGUUGUGAAAAUUGCUUUACUUCCUCUGCCUAUGUAUAAUUACAACCUAUGUCUUCAAAUGAUCUCCAACUGGAGAGUAUGAAUCACAGUCCAAGUCCAAGGAAGUCUGAAGCUGAUGUUCUGGUUCACCGUCACCUCUGUAGAAAAUACCUGCAUGGAUAAAAAAGAAAUAAGCCUCUUGUUUUGCUAAAGAAAGGACUAGAAGGAUCAAGUCCAAUGAUACUCUAUCACAAACUAUUUAUUAAGCACCGUUCUGAAACCAGGUUGUUCCCACUCUCUUUGUUAGAAACCUUCUUCAAUUUCCAGAGUAGAGUUACUAAUGACUAGUUUGUUCACAUAUAUUAUUGUGCCACACCUCUCUUGCAGUUUAGACUGUACACACAUAGCACGUGAGCCUGGAUAUUAGAUUUCUUCUGGGUUUUGUCUCUUUCAGGGGAAAAAAAAAGAGCUUAAAUAUAAGAUCACCUUGUAUUCUAGAUCAAAUUAUUUCCUCCUACAAUUCAAUAAGCAAAAGGAGCAGAUGAUAAGAGAGUGCCUUAUAUUUGGAUUUGUGUAACUUAGUCAGAAUGGUCCAGCCUUUUAGCAACAGCAUCCCUGCUCCGUUGGUCGCUCCUGUUACCUUAUGUCCAAGUAAAUGCAGUCAACUUUCUUUCUUUGUGAUGUAUUUGCAGAAAUCAAGCAUGUGUCCUCUUUCCCUGUGUUGCUAGAGUGAAAAAAACCAAACUCUUCUCAUACAACGGUUUCUUCUUCAGCCAUUCAGAUGGCCUUUUUAUGAUUCAGGGUGGCUUUCCGAGCGUGGUGACCAAACCUGCACCCCCUUUGCACAAAGCCAGUUCCAUCAGAUUGUGAUUUUAAUGAGGGGUAAGAGGUUUGCAGAUACUAGUGUAUGUGAAGAGGACCGAUUCUCUGAGGAUGAAUUCUCAGCAAAUUCUAAGCAGGUGCCUUUAUGAGGGAUCUAGUUGUGUAAACCCCAGUCACUCAAGGGGGAACCUUGUCCUAAGUAAAUGACAUAAAACACACCCCUGAACUGACAACGGGCCUGCUUCCUACAUGUGAAAUAACCCCCGGAACUGCUAGAAGCAGUAGCAUAUGGUAUCUUUUAUUCACAGGUGCAGUAGUGUUUGCAUCUGCAUGAAGAGCACUGUGAGCUACUGUUGGAGUGUUUCUAGCAUCUCAGGAAAAGCAACUUCUCAACAAGAACAAUACUGCUGAGAGCAACUGAGACCAAAAGCCUGGCCUUCAAAAUAUAUGACUUGAAAGGAAAGCUGCAUUUUUUUGGUAAGGUCCAAAUGUAUUUCAUUCGGCUUUGCUGCUACUCCCAAAGUUUGGUUGUAAACAAGUAUGAUUUUUACCCUGGAAGCCACACAUCUGGAUUGCAGUGCCUGUGACUUUUCAUCAUCACAAGUAGUUAUUUGCUUUAUAAUUUUCUGCUUGUGCAGAAAACAGCUUGUAAGAGGUAACCUGAGCAAACUCUAUUUUAUAAUUGAAGAGCUUAAAUGUCUUAAAUUUAUGUCAGCAAGGUGGCUUCAGCCAUUAACCUCCUCUAUAUGACCCUGAAGUCUCAAAAGUCUGCAUUUCUAGCCCUGCAGAGUUCUGAUUGUGACUGCUCUCUCUCAAAUGUCCCUGCUGGCUCUUUGUCCAGAUAGCUCAACUCUCCAAAGCAAUGAUGGACCAACUGCUUUCACGGGAGAUGAAUGUGAACUUGAGUUCACCUACAGCUGUAACCCUUUUUGUAGCUAUACAGCAAUAAAACUUGGAAAGUAAUUUCUGUACAUCAUAAAUAUAGUGAUGUAUCUGUCAGCAUUAUCAGUACUCGAUGCCAAAUGACAACAUAAUGUUGCACCUGAAUAACUCUGUUUAAAUAACAGGUUGUUUUCUCACUGCACAGUUGGUGUAUCCUGGAGAUGCUGCGCUGUGGAGGCUGAAUGUAUUUGAGUUAAUUAGUAUUCAAAAUGUACAGGGGCAUAGAUGCCCCUAAUUCCAGCCUCAGUUCCCCAAACCAUGGCAAUGCGAGUGAUCACAAAAGAAGUCACUGGAAUGAACAGCCACUGAAUUCCAGUAUGGACAAGGAAUUGCAGAAAGGGACAGACUUCCAAUCUGUGCACAGUUCAUACAAAGCAGGGCUUUGGGGGUACAUGGCUGCUGACAGAAUGAGAAGGGGACAUGAACUGUUCACUCUAAGGGGCUGAGGACACCCAGAGAAGGCUGUAUUUGUUUGGAGGAGCUGACAGACUUCACUGGUUCCCUGCCUUCCCUGGAAAAGGUCAUCCAAAAAGCCUUUCAAAUGUCCCAGUAUGGUCGCAGGGCCCUCAGUGUGGAUGAGUAGAAUAGAGUGCUUUUGCUGUUAUCUUCUGCCCCUAAAUCGUUCCUACUCCUGCUUAAACCUAUGGCUUGCCAGCUGACUUCUUGGUAACUUGUGGUUGAUUACCUCAGGUUCUCCUUUACACUUGUCUGGGCAACUUUUUGCUCUCACAAGCAGAAAUACGGACACAAACCCCUCACUAACCACAUCACUUCAAGGAAACAAAUGGGACUGUGCACCCCCCGUCUGAGUAACGCUGUGGUGUGGAGUUGGUUGGAGCUCUGCAGCCUUACAGAUAGCACAGGAUGGGUGGGCUGUGAAGGCAAAGAUGUAAUGCAUGUUCCUCUGGCAUUCUGGAAUAACAUCCUUUUCUAACUGGGUGUCUCUGUUGAUCUGUUUCAUAAAUCAUUAAUAAAUGAUAUUUCUGAAUAAAUACUUUCUCUGUAUCUUCUCCAACACUGAGGAUUAAUUUUGCAUGGGUCUGUGCAUUUACUCUGUUCUUCAGCAGUGACAGAAAGUGAUCUCUUGGCCAGAUUUUAUGAAUGAUGUUGAACAUUUAUUACAUAUUAUGAUCUUUCUGGGUGAUAUAAAGGCAAGUCCAGGGAUCUGUCUCUGGUUCUGUCUAACUGUUUUUCUUCUCUA